GGAGGACCCGUGGCUCAGUGGCAAAGCUUCUGCUCAGCAUGCAGAAGAACCCAAGUUCAAUCCCCAGCACCUCCA
Molecule: transfer RNA, 75 nt
Filed under: Sphaerodactylus townsendi
Lineage: Eukaryota; Metazoa; Chordata; Lepidosauria; Squamata; Sphaerodactylidae
Description: tRNA-Ala
Source: RNAcentral